GUACCAUUAGCUCAGCCGGAUAGAGUGUUUGGCUACGAACCAAAAGGUCGGGGGUUCGAAUCCCUCAUGGUACGCCA
This 77-nucleotide transfer RNA is filed under the name Clostridia bacterium. RNAcentral's name for it is "tRNA-Arg". It matches the Rfam family "tRNA". From Rfam's summary of the family: Transfer RNA (tRNA) molecules are approximately 80 nucleotides in length. Their secondary structure includes four short double-helical elements and three loops (D, anti-codon, and T loops). The record is from RNAcentral. Lineage: Bacteria; Bacillati; Bacillota; Clostridia. RNAcentral also lists the same sequence under 1 other name.